RNAcentral lists this ribosomal RNA (487 nucleotides) under uncultured bacterium. Its description in RNAcentral is "bacterial SSU rRNA". It matches the Rfam family "Bacterial small subunit ribosomal RNA", at positions 501 to 989 of the family's 1533-position model. The record is from RNAcentral.
CUACGUGCCAGCAGCCGCGGUAAUACGUAUGUCGCAAGCGUUAUCCGGAAUUAUUGGGCAUAAAGGGCAUCUAGGCGGCCAGACAAGUCUGGGGUGAAAACUUGUGGCUCAACCGCAAGCCUGCCCUGGAAACUGUUUGGCUAGAGUGCUGGAGAGGUGGACGGAACUGCACGAGUAGAGGUGAAAUUCGUAGAUAUGUGCAGGAAUGCCGAUGAUGAAGAUAGUUCACUGGACGGUAACUGACGCUGAAGUGCGAAAGCUGGGGGAGCGAACAGGAUUAGAUACCCUGGUAGUCCCAGCCGUAAACGAUGAUUACUGGGUGUGGGCAUGAAGAGUGUCCGUGCCGAAGCUAAUGCGAUAAGUAAUCCGCCUGGGGAGUACGGCCGCAAGGCUGAAACUCAAAGGAAUUGACGGGGACCCGCACAAGCGGUGGAGCAUGUGGUUUAAUUCGACGCAACGCGAGGAACCUUACCAGAUCUUGACAUCC